CCAAAUCGGCAGCUUCUCCACACUCGAUCCACCGCCGAUAGAUUUUUUCGUUUGUAUUUAUAAUUUCCAGAGCGGCUGAGCUCAGUCAUGUAUGCGUCAUGUUCGAAGACAUUAAAUUCAUAAACAAGGAAACAUUAAAUACACACAAUCCCUGUGCUAAUUAUUCAUUGUAGGCAAGCUCGGACGAACGGGAAUACUAAAAUGUGUACACAAUUUGAACCAAUUUUCAAAAUCGAAAUUCUAUACAAUGAUGCUUUUUAAUACUCACAUUUGUCUUAAAUGGGAAUGCCCUUUUUUUUCGGCACCAGAUUCGGAUGGUCCUAUUUUGUAUUUUUUUUUUCGUCUUUUAAUAUUAUAACAUAAUUUGUGUAAUUUUAUUUUGCAUUUUAUUACCUACCUAUCAUUUUCACGUCCAUAAAACAGUCGUCAAACGUCGUCACUUUUAAAGUCGCGCGUGACUUUUCGAACGAAAUAUCGUAUAGUCGUGGUGUCGUUGUAAGUACUCACUGAUAGGAAUUAUCAAUUUCGUAGAAAUGAUAUUCAAC
Cinara cedri is the source of this 545-nucleotide non-coding RNA. The record is from the annotation of a GenBank genome assembly. NCBI's taxonomy places the organism in Eukaryota, Metazoa, Arthropoda, Insecta, Hemiptera, Aphididae.